UACGUAGGGUGCAAGCGUUGUUCGGAAUCACUGGGCGUAAAGAGAGCGUAGGCGGGAUUGUAAGUUAGAAGUUUAAUACAUGGGCUUAACCCGUGGCUGGCUUUUAAUACUGCAGUUCUUGAGUAUGGGAGAGGGCGAUGGAAUUCCAGGUGUAGCGGUGGAAUGCGUAGAUAUCUGGAAGAACACCAGUAGCGAAGGCGGUCGCCUGGCCUAAUACUGACGCUGAGGCUCGAAAGCUAGGGGAGCAAAC
Molecule: ribosomal RNA, 250 nt
Filed under: uncultured bacterium
Lineage: Bacteria
Description: partial 16S ribosomal RNA
Rfam family: Bacterial small subunit ribosomal RNA
Source: RNAcentral